Molecule: transfer RNA, 22 nt
Filed under: Anopheles jeyporiensis
Lineage: Eukaryota; Metazoa; Arthropoda; Insecta; Diptera; Culicidae
Description: partial tRNA-Leu
Source: RNAcentral
ACUAAUAUGGCAGAUUAGUGCA